AUUGAACGCUGGCGGCAUGCCUUACACAUGCAAGUCGAACGGUAACAGGUCUUCAGAUGCUGACGAGUGGCGAACGGGUGAGUAAUACAUCGGAACGUGCCCGAUCGUGGGGGAUAACGAAGCGAAAGCUUUGCUAAUACCGCAUACGAUCUACGGAUGAAAGCAGGGGACCGCAAGGCCUUGCGCGAACGGAGCGGCCGAUGGCAGAUUAGGUAGUUGGUGGGAUAAAAGCUUACCAAGCCGACGAUCUGUAGCUGGUCUGAGAGGACGACCAGCCACACUGGGACUGAGACACGGCCCAGACUCCUACGGGAGGCAGCAGUGGGGAAUUUUGGACAAUGGGCGAAAGCCUGAUCCAGCCAUGCCGCGUGCAGGAUGAAGGCCUUCGGGUUGUAAACUGCUUUUGUACGGAACGAAAAGACUCUGGUUAAUACCUGGGGUCCAUGACGGUACCGUAAGAAUAAGCACCGGCUAACUACGUG
Molecule: ribosomal RNA, 482 nt
Filed under: uncultured bacterium
Lineage: Bacteria
Description: partial 16S ribosomal RNA
Rfam family: Bacterial small subunit ribosomal RNA
Source: RNAcentral